Molecule: ribosomal RNA, 443 nt
Filed under: uncultured bacterium
Lineage: Bacteria
Description: SSU rRNA
Rfam family: Bacterial small subunit ribosomal RNA
Source: RNAcentral
AGAGCGAACGCUGGCGGCAGGCCUAACACAUGCAAGUCGAGCGCCCCGCAAGGGGAGCGGCAGACGGGAGAGUAACACGUGGGAACGUACCCUUCAGUUCGGAACAACCCAGGGAAACUUGGGCUAAUACCGAAUACGUCCGUAAGGAGAAAGAUUUAUCGCUGAAGGAUCGGCCCGCGUCUGAUUAGCUUGUUGGUGAGGUAAUGGCUCACCAAGGCUACGAUCAGUAGCUGGUCUGAGAGGAUGAUCAGCCUCACUGGGACUGAGACACGGCCCAGACUCCUACGGGAGGCAGCAGUGGGGAAUAUUGGACAAUGGGCGCAAGCCUGAUCCAGCCAUGCCGCGUGGGUGAUGAAGGCCCUAGGGUUGUAAAGCCCUUUCGGCGGGGAAGAUAAUGACGGUACCCGCAGAAGAAGCCCCGGCUAACUCGCGCCAGCAGCCGC